UCAGGAUGAACGCUGGCGGCGUGCUUAACACAUGCAAGUCGAACGAUGAUCCCAGCUUGCUGGGGGAUUAGUGGCGAACGGGUGAGUAACACGUGAGUAACCUGCCCUUGACUCUGGGAUAAGCCUGGGAAACUGGGUCUAAUACCGGAUAUGACUCCUCAUCGCAUGGUGGGGGGUGGAAAGCUUUUGUGGUUUUGGAUGGACUCGCGGCCUAUCAGCUUGUUGGUGGGGUAAUGGCCUACCAAGGCGACGACGGGUAGCCGGCCUGAGAGGGUGACCGGCCACACUGGGACUGAGACACGGCCCAGACUCCUACGGGAGGCAGCAGUGGGGAAUAUUGCACAAUGGGCGCAAGCCUGAUGCAGCGACGCCGCGUGAGGGAUGACGGCCUUCGGGUUGUAAACCUCUUUCAGUAGGGAAGAAGCGUAAGUGA
This 433-nucleotide ribosomal RNA is filed under the name soil bacterium 5V-09. Its description in RNAcentral is "bacterial SSU rRNA". It matches the Rfam family "Bacterial small subunit ribosomal RNA", at positions 24 to 459 of the family's 1533-position model. The record is from RNAcentral.